AUACGGAGGAUGCGAGCGUUAUCCGGAUUUAUUGGGUUUAAAGGGAGCGUAGGUGGGAUAUUAAGUCAGCUGUGAAAGGUUGGGGCUCAACCUUAAAAUUGCAGUUGAUACUGGUUUCCUUGAGUACGGUACAGGUGGGCGGAAUUGGUGGUGUAGCGGUGAAAUGCUUAGAUAUCACGAAGAACUCCGAUCGCGAAGGCAGCUCACCGGGCCGGAACUGACACUGAUGCUCGAAAGUGCGGGUAUCAAACAGGAUUAGAUACCCUGGUAGUCCGCACAGUAAACGAUGAAUACUUGUUUUCGGCGAUAUAAUGUCGGAGGCAAAGCGAAAGCGAUAAGUAUUCCACCUGGGGAGUACGCCGGCAACGGUGAAACUUAAAGGAAUUGACGGGG
RNAcentral lists this ribosomal RNA (393 nucleotides) under uncultured bacterium. RNAcentral's name for it is "partial 16S ribosomal RNA". It matches the Rfam family "Bacterial small subunit ribosomal RNA", at positions 523 to 918 of the family's 1533-position model. The record is from RNAcentral.